AUAUUCUGUGAGCAGGAAAGCAGGGGACCGCAAGGCCUUUGCGCUCUUUGAGCGGCCGAUGUCAGAUUAGCUAGUUGGUGAGGUAAAAGGCUUACCAAGGCGACGAUCUGUAGCGGGUCUGAGAGGAUGAUCCGCCACACUGGAACUGAGACACGGUCCAGACUCCUACGGGAGGCAACAGUGGGGAAUUUUGGACAAUGGGGCAACCCUGAUCCAGCCAUGCCGCGUGAGUGAAGAAGGCCUUCGGGUUGUAAAGCUCUUUUCGGCCGGGAAGAAAUCGCAUGGGCCAAUACCCUGUGUGGAUGACGGUACCGGAAUAAGAAGCACCGGCUAACUACGUG
RNAcentral lists this ribosomal RNA (341 nucleotides) under uncultured bacterium. RNAcentral describes it as "bacterial SSU rRNA". It matches the Rfam family "Bacterial small subunit ribosomal RNA", at positions 173 to 507 of the family's 1533-position model. The record is from RNAcentral.